This 483-nucleotide ribosomal RNA is filed under the name uncultured soil bacterium. RNAcentral describes it as "bacterial SSU rRNA". It matches the Rfam family "Bacterial small subunit ribosomal RNA", at positions 26 to 518 of the family's 1533-position model. The record is from RNAcentral.
AGGACGAACGCUGGCGGUGCGCCUAACACAUGCAAGUCGAACGGUGAACCGGGCUUCGGCCCGGGGAUCAGUGGCGAACGGGUGCGUAACACGUGGGCAACCUGCCCCCGACCCUGGGAUAACCCCGGGAAACCGGAGCUAAUACCGGAUACUCUCCUCCGACCACAUGGUCAGAAGAGGAAAGGUCCGCCGGUCGGGGAUGGGCCCGCGGCCUAUCAGCUUGUUGGUGGGGUAACGGCCUACCAAGGCGACGACGGGUAGCUGGUCUGAGAGGACGACCAGCCACACUGGGACUGAGACACGGCCCAGACUCCUACGGGAGGCAGCAGUGGGGAAUCUUGCGCAAUGGGCGAAAGCCUGACGCAGCGACACCGCGUGGGGGAUGAAGGCCUUUCAGGUCGUAAACCCCUUUCGGCAGGGACGAAGCGAUGUCGUGACGGUACCUGCAGAAGAAGCCUCGGCUAACUACGUGCCAGCAGCCGC